GAUGAAGAACGCAGCGAAAUGCGAUAAGUAGUGUGAAUUGCAGACUUUAGUGAAUCAUCGAAUCUUUGAACGCACAUUGCGCCCCUUGGUAUUCCAUGGGGCAUGCCUGUUCGAGCGUCAUUUGUACCUUCAAGCUUUGCUUGGUGUUGGGUGUUUGUCCCGAGGGACUCGCCUUAAAGUAAUUGGCAGCCAGUGUUUGGUUUUGAAGCGCAGCACAAGUCGCGAUUCAAGGCUACACGCCCGCUUCCACAAGCCUUUUUUCACUUUUGACCUCGGAUCAGGUAGGGAUACCCGCUGAACUUAAGCAUAUCAAUAAGCGGAGGA
RNAcentral lists this unclassified non-coding RNA (324 nucleotides) under soil metagenome. RNAcentral describes it as "partial contains 5.8S ribosomal RNA, internal transcribed spacer 2, and large subunit ribosomal RNA". The stretch from base 1 to 120 matches the Rfam family "5.8S ribosomal RNA", at positions 35 to 154 of the family's 154-position model. The record is from RNAcentral.